UACGGGGGGGGCAAGCGUUGUUCGGAAUUACUGGGCGUAAAGGGUUCGUAGGUGGCCGAUUAAGUCAGACGUGAAAUCCCUCAGCUCAACUGGGGAACUGCGUCUGAUACUGGUUGGCUUGAGUGCAGGAGAGGAACGCGGAAUUCCAGGUGUAGCGGUGAAAUGCGUAGAUAUCUGGAGGAACACCGGUGGCGAAGGCGGCGUUCUGGACUGCAACUGACACUGAGGAACGAAAGCCAGGGGAGCAAACGGG
RNAcentral lists this ribosomal RNA (253 nucleotides) under uncultured bacterium. RNAcentral's name for it is "partial 16S ribosomal RNA". It matches the Rfam family "Bacterial small subunit ribosomal RNA", at positions 524 to 776 of the family's 1533-position model. The record is from RNAcentral.